CGCGUAGGCGGCUUUAUAAGUCUGGAGUGAAAGUCCUCUUUUCAAGGGAGGAAUUGCUUUGAAAACUAUAGAGCUUGAGUGCAGGAGAGGUUAUCGGAAUUCCCGGUGUAGCGGUGAAAUGCGUAGAUAUCGGGAGGAACAUCGGUGGCGAAGGCGGGUAACUGGACUGCAACUGACGCUGAGGCGCGAAAGUGUGGGGAGCAAACA
This 207-nucleotide ribosomal RNA is filed under the name uncultured bacterium. RNAcentral describes it as "partial 16S ribosomal RNA". It matches the Rfam family "Bacterial small subunit ribosomal RNA", at positions 568 to 774 of the family's 1533-position model. The record is from RNAcentral.